CGAUUCUGGCUCAGGACGAACGCUGGCGGCGUGCUUAACACAUGCAAGUCGAACGAGGAUAUACCAGAGGAGAGCUUCGGCAGGAAUCGGGUAUAUUCGAGUGGCGGACGGGUGAGUAACGCGUGAGCGACCUGUCCCAGACAGGGGGAUAACACUUGGAAACAGGUGCUAAUACCGCAUAAGACCACGGUAUCACAUGGUAUUGGGGUAAAAGGAGCAAUCCGGUUUGGGGUGGGCUCGCGUCCGAUUAGAUAGUUGGUGAGGUAACGGCCCACCAAGUCGACGAUCGGUAGCCGACCUGAGAGGGUGAUCGGCCACAUUGGAACUGAGAGACGGUCCAAACUCCUACGGGAGGCAGCAGUGGGGAAUAUUGGGCAAUGGGCGAAAGCCUGACCCAAGCAACGCCGCGUGAGUGAAGAAGUAUUUCGGUACGUAAAGCUCUAUCAGCAGGGAAGAAAAUGACGGUACCUGACUAAGAAGCACCGGCUAAAUACGUGCCAGCAGCCGC
Molecule: ribosomal RNA, 508 nt
Filed under: uncultured bacterium
Lineage: Bacteria
Description: bacterial SSU rRNA
Rfam family: Bacterial small subunit ribosomal RNA
Source: RNAcentral